CCUACGGGAGGCAGCAGGGAGGAAUAUUGGUCAAUGGGCGCGAGCCUGAACCAGCCAAGUAGCGUGAAGGAUGACUGCCCUACGGGUUGUAAACUUCGGUUAUAAAGGAAUAAAGUGAGGCACGUGUGCCUUUUUGUAUGUACGUUAUGAAUAAGGAUCGGCUAACUCCGUGCCAGCAGCCGCGGUAAUACGGAGGAUCCGAGCGUUAUCCGGAUUUAUUGGGUUUAAAGGGAGCGUAGCUGGGUUGUUAAGUCAGUGGUGAAAGUUUUCGGCUCAACCGUAAAAUUGCAAUUGAUACUGGCAGUCUUUAUUACAGUUGAGGUAGGCGGACUUCGUGUUGUCGCGGU
Molecule: ribosomal RNA, 347 nt
Filed under: uncultured bacterium
Lineage: Bacteria
Description: partial 16S ribosomal RNA
Rfam family: Bacterial small subunit ribosomal RNA
Source: RNAcentral